GAUGAAGAACGUAGCGAAAUGCGAUAAGUAAUGUGAAUUGCAGAAUUCAGUGAAUCAUCGAAUCUUUGAACGCACAUUGCGCCCCCUGGCAUUCCGGGGGGCAUGCCUGUUCGAGCGUCAUUACAACCCUCAAGCUCUGCUUGGUAUUGGGCUCUGCCGGUCCCGGCAGGCCUUAAAAUCAGUGGCGGUGCCACUCGGCUUCAAGCGUAGAAAUUCUUCUCGCUUCGGAGACCCGGGUGCGUGCUAGCCAGCAACCCCCAACUUUCUCAGGUUGACCUCGGAUCAGGUAGGGAUACCCGCUGAACUUAAGCAUAUCAAUAAGCGGAGGA
RNAcentral lists this unclassified non-coding RNA (329 nucleotides) under soil metagenome. Its description in RNAcentral is "partial contains 5.8S ribosomal RNA, internal transcribed spacer 2, and large subunit ribosomal RNA". The stretch from base 1 to 120 matches the Rfam family "5.8S ribosomal RNA", at positions 35 to 154 of the family's 154-position model. The record is from RNAcentral.